GCAGUCGAACGGUAACAGGUACUUCGGAUGCUGACGAGUGGCGGACGGGUGAGUAAUGCGUAGGAAUCUGUCUUUUAGUGGGGGACAACCCAGGGAAACUUGGGCUAAUACCGCAUGAGCCCUGAGGGGGAAAGCGGGGGAUCUUCGGACCUCGCGCUAAGGGAAGAGCCUACGUCUGAUUAGCUAGUUGGUAGGGUAAAGGCCUACCAAGGCGACGAUCAGUAGCUGGUCUGAGAGGACGACCAGCCACACUGGGACUGAGACACGGCCCAGACUCCUACGGGAGGCAGCAGUGGGGAAUUUUUCGCAAUGGGGGCAACCCUGACGAAGCAAUGCCGCGUGGAUGAAGAAGGCCUUCGGGUUGUAAAGUCCUUUCGUGGGGGACGAAAAGGCGGGUCCUAAUACGAUCUGCUGUUGACGUGAACCCAAGAAGAAGCACCGGCUAACUCCGUGCCAGCAGCCGCGGUAAUACGGGGGGUGCAAGCGUUAAUCGGAAUCACUGGGCGUAAAGGGUGCGUAGGCGGUACGUUAGGUCUGUCGUGAAAUCCCCGGGCUCAACCUGGGAAUGGCGGUAGAAACCGGCGCACUAGAGUAUGGGAGAGGGUGGUGGAAUUCCAGGUGUAGCGGUGAAAUGCGUAGAGAUCUGGAGGAACAUCAGUGGCGAAGGCGGCCACCUGGCCCAAUACUGACGCUGAGGCACGAAAGCGUGGCGAGCAAACAGGAUUAGAUACCCUGGUAGUCCACGCCCUACACGAUGAAUACUAGAUGUCUGGUACCUAGCGUACUGAGUGUCGUAGCUAACGCGAUAAGUAUUCCGCCUGGGAAGUACGGCCGCAAGGUUAAGACUCAAAGGAAUUGACGUGGGCGCGCACAAGCGAUGGAGCAU
RNAcentral lists this ribosomal RNA (886 nucleotides) under Acidithiobacillus ferriphilus. RNAcentral's name for it is "bacterial SSU rRNA". It matches the Rfam family "Bacterial small subunit ribosomal RNA", at positions 57 to 940 of the family's 1533-position model. Lineage: Bacteria; Pseudomonadati; Pseudomonadota; Acidithiobacillia; Acidithiobacillales; Acidithiobacillaceae. The record is from RNAcentral.